RNAcentral lists this long non-coding RNA (2207 nucleotides) under Coffea arabica (coffee). RNAcentral describes it as "long non-coding RNA (CARA_LNC000923)". Lineage: Eukaryota; Viridiplantae; Streptophyta; Magnoliopsida; Gentianales; Rubiaceae. The record is from RNAcentral.
UGCUAGUCUCAUUUAUGUGUAGUUUGGGGUUGAAAUUCACUGGCUUUUCCUCCUUAUUCUAGAUUUGCUUAAGCUUCACUUGGAUUUAAUGCUGUCGCCUUCUUCAUGUUCUAUCUGUGUGCUUAUGCCAAUCUAUGUCUUGCUCUUUCCAAACCUUGCUACGCUAGACUUAGGAAUCUGAGCUCAUGGCAAUGCAUGCUUGUUAAUUUGUUUAAUUAUUGGAUGCACCCACUCCGCAUCCACAAAGUAAAAUGUUUUCACUUUACACUUGGAUGAAUUUAAUAGUUUUUACUGAAAAUGGCACCAAAAGGCGUGCUUGGUAAGGAGCGGGAACUUUUUUCUUUUGGAUGGAGUUUAAUUAUUCUUUGGACCAUUUCCAUAAGACCAUCUUCAUAAGCUGUGACAAAUGAUAUGAAUUUAGUUUCCUUAAUUGACCUGUUUUUUCUUUGCAGGAUUGUCUUUUGCUUAUCAGCUUUUGUAUCUACUAGAUGCUACUGGUUCUACUCUUUAGGAUUACACGUUUAGGGAUUCAUGUUUGUCGAGCUACAGGGCAGGAGCUGGUACUUAUUCUAGAUAUGUAUCAUGUGUACUGAUCUAUUAGAUCUAUUGUCAUCCUUCUUGUCUGUGGACUAACUUUGCUAUCUAAAUCAGUUUACAACUUGGUAAUCUAUACUUAUAUAGGAUCUUGCAUGGAAAUUCAUGCAUAUCUCCAAACCAUGAAUGUUGCUUACUUUAAAUUUUUUUUCUAUGUGUUCUUUAACUAUCAGACACUUGACUAGGUGCAUUUUCAUAUAAUCUUAUAUUUAUCUCCACAAAGCUGGUAGUUUGAGGAAAAGAUCAAGUAAGAAAAUUUGUAUUUAAAAUGGAGAAAGUGUUUAUUUAUUCAAUCAAACCACUCUUCGACAUACUUGUAGAUGUUAGUUGAAUCAGUUGAGCCAUCUUUAAACCUUUUUUUAGGACCUAGCAGUGCAUUUAUGAUGGACUGAUUUCAGUUAUGUUUCUACUUAUUUCCUUUCAUUUCUUUGAGCAUGGGCACUUUCUUUUGACAAGGUAGAUGGAUACAUCUUCAAGAAUUUCUAAAAUCAGGAGCCGCGAACGUGAGAGACUCCGUGGCCCCCCUUGGCUGAAGGUAUGUGAUUCCAUAUUUCUUAAUGGUUUUAUGCUGAUACUUUGAAUAUUGUUAAUAGUCUGAGAUUAUGUGGAGCAGUUACCAUGUUAUUCAAGCAUUGUGCAUGUAGAUGCCUAUCAUGUUAUCUAUCAUAUUUCUGAACCUCAACAAAUUUGGCUCUAAGAUUCUAUGGUUGUCAUCUUUUUGAAACUAUAAAUUCAAUGACUAUUUUGAAGGUUCUAUGAUCAAUAACUUGGCUAUUUGCAUUUCAGGCAGUGCAAGGUGCACUUCUAAGCAGUAUGUAUGCAGUUCUUGACUAUGCACAAACUGGUUUAAUUGCUGCAGUAUUUUUCUUUAAAGUAAGUGCACUUCACCGAGAUUAUGUCAAAUCCUGCAUUAGCAACUUUAUUUGAUUCUUUUUUAUCUUCAUGUCAUUGUCUUAUCAUCAUUGGUUCAUUUGAUUUUUCUGUUGGUUUCAUAUUCUUCUUUAUUUAUUUUAAAGUCCCCUUCAUUGGGGUCGUUUUUCAUUAUAUUAAAAACUCUGUUGGUUUCAGACUUGAUUAUGUUGAAUCAUGCGCCUUAUUAGCUGUAUUUUCUUUUCCAUUAUUGCCCUGUCUCUCUUUCUCUCUCUCUCAAAGACACACAGAUUUCCACACAAGAUGGCGAAUAAAAUCCAUGACUUUUCAUUAUUGAUGUGAAUGUCAGAUGAUGGAAUGGUGGUACCAAUCUGCUGAGGAGAGAAUGUCUGCUCCAACAGUGUAUCCCCACCACCACCUCCUCCUCCCCCAAAGGUGAGGUUAUUUUCUUUUAAUGUGUAGGAAGUUCCACAAACGGUUGGUGGCUUUUUAAGAUUUUAUAUUUUCUUGCAUGUAGGACAUUCUUUUGUGACUCGUGAGUAAGGUGCAGUAAUUGUUAUGUUUCAUAUGAAUAGUUCCCAUAGUGAAGUUAUUCCUAUCUGACACGUGUGGCUCACGCAUUGCCAAGUCUUGGGAAAUUUUUGCAUGGGGGCACCAUUGAUGGUAAUAAAUGAAAAAAAAAUAACAAUCAUAGGUGCAGAAAUGCUAUAAUGAUAAGGUUUCUUACACAAAUUGAAAAAAAA